UGAAAGGAUUUCAAUGGGUUUAGGGCCUUUGCGGUUGUUUUGUAUAUAUUUAUUAGAGGUUUAAGCCUCCAUAUUCAAUUGUUUUAAUGAGUUAUGCUUUUGUGGGUUUUUGGCAUAAAUUUAUAAGUUUUGCUUUAAGUCAAACACUAGGGUUUGACCUUUUACAAAUUAAGGGUUUGGCUAUUGAUUUACCCUUUAAAUGGAGAUGUAAAAAGGAGAUUUAGAAAAAGAAAUAAGGGAGUUGUUGGUCACUGUAGUGGUUGAGUUCAUAUAUAAUCAUGAUCUUGUUAUUGAUAGGUAAAGAAAAAAGAUCAUCAUAGUUGAUAGAAGAAGAAGGAGAAGAAUAGAUGAACAUUAAUACUAAUUGGGAGGAUAAUAGUGUAAGUGGCCGAGUUCAUAUAUAAUCAUGAUCUUGUUAUUCAUAGAUAAAGAAAAAAGAUCAUCAUAGUUGAUAGAUAA
RNAcentral lists this long non-coding RNA (459 nucleotides) under Vitis vinifera (wine grape). RNAcentral's name for it is "long non-coding RNA (VVIN_LNC006396)". The record is from RNAcentral. Lineage: Eukaryota; Viridiplantae; Streptophyta; Magnoliopsida; Vitales; Vitaceae.